Molecule: ribosomal RNA, 2432 nt
Filed under: Listeria monocytogenes
Lineage: Bacteria; Bacillati; Bacillota; Bacilli; Caryophanales; Listeriaceae
Description: partial 23S ribosomal RNA
Rfam family: Bacterial large subunit ribosomal RNA
Source: RNAcentral
GGUUAAGUUAGAAAGGGCGCACGGUGGAUGCCUUGGCACUAGGAGCCGAAGAAGGACGGGACUAACACCGAUAUGCUUUGGGGAGCUGUACGUAAGCGUUGAUCCAGAGAUUUCCGAAUGGGGGAACCCACUAUCUUUAGUCGGAUAGUAUCCUUACGUGAAUACAUAGCGUGAGGAAGGCAGACCCAGGGAACUGAAACAUCUAAGUACCUGGAGGAAGAGAAAGAAAAAUCGAUUUCCUGAGUAGCGGCGAGCGAAACGGAAAGAGCCCAAACCAAGAAGCUUGCUUCUUGGGGUUGUAGGACACUCUAUACGGAGUUACAAAAGAAAGUUAUAAAUGAAGCGGUCUGGAAAGGCCCGCCAAAGACGGUAACAGCCCGGUAGUUGAAAUAGCUUUCCCUCCAGAGUGGAUCCUGAGUACGGCGGAACACGUGAAAUUCCGUCGGAAUCCGGGAGGACCAUCUCCCAAGGCUAAAUACUCCCUAGUGACCGAUAGUGAACCAGUACCGUGAGGGAAAGGUGAAAGCACCCCGGAAGGGGAGUGAAACAGUUCCUGAAACCGUGUGCCUACAAGUAGUUAGAGCCCGUUAAUGGGUGAUAGCGUGCCUUUUGUAGAAUGAACCGGCGAGUUACGAUUUGUUGCAAGGUUAAGCGGAAAAAGCGGAGCCGUAGCGAAAGCGAGUCUGAAUAGGGCGCAUAAGUAACAGGUCGUAGACCCGAAACCAGGUGAUCUACCCAUGUCCAGGAUGAAGGUAAGGUAAUACUUACUGGAGGUCCGAACCCACGCACGUUGAAAAGUGCGGGGAUGAGGUGUGGGUAGCGGAGAAAUUCCAAUCGAACUUGGAGAUAGCUGGUUCUCUCCGAAAUAGCUUUAGGGCUAGCCUCGAGGUAAAGAGUCAUGGAGGUAGAGCACUGUUUGGACUAGGGGCCCUUCUCGGGUUACCGAAUUCAGAUAAACUCCGAAUGCCAUGUACUUAUACUCGGGAGUCAGACUGCGAGUGAUAAGAUCCGUAGUCGAAAGGGAAACAGCCCAGACCACCAGUUAAGGUCCCCAAAUAUCUGUUAAGUGGAAAAGGAUGUGGGGUUGCUUAGACAACCAGGAUGUUGGCUUAGAAGCAGCCACCAUUGAAAGAGUGCGUAAUAGCUCACUGGUCGAGUGACCCCGCGCCGAAAAUGUACCGGGGCUAAACAUAUUACCGAAACUGUGGAUGAACCUCUUUAGAGGUUCGUGGUAGGAGAGCGUUCUAAGGGCGGUGAAGUCAGACCGGAAGGACUGGUGGAGCGCUUAGAAGUGAGAAUGCCGGUAUGAGUAGCGAAAGAAGGGUGAGAAUCCCUUCCACCGAAUAUCUAAGGUUUCCUGAGGAAGGCUCGUCCGCUCAGGGUUAGUCGGGACCUAAGCCGAGGCCGAUAGGCGUAGGCGAUGGACAACAGGUAGAGAUUCCUGUACCAGUGCUAAUUGUUUAACCGAUGGGGUGACACAGAAGGAUAGGGAAUCGCACGAAUGGAAAUGUGCGUCCAAGCAGUGAGUGUGAGAAGUAGGCAAAUCCGCUUCUCGCGAAGCAUGAGCUGUGAUGGGGAAGGAAAUUAAGUACGGAAGUUCCUGAUUUCACGCUGUCAAGAAAAGCCUCUAGGAAGAGUAGUACUGCCCGUACCGCAAACCGACACAGGUAGAUGAGGAGAGAAUCCUAAGGUGAGCGAGAGAACUCUCGUUAAGGAACUCGGCAAAAUGACCCCGUAACUUCGGGAGAAGGGGUGCUCUAUUAGGGUGCAAGCCCGAGAGAGCCGCAGUGAAUAGGCCCAGGCGACUGUUUAGCAAAAACACAGGUCUCUGCAAAACCGUAAGGUGACGUAUAGGGGCUGACGCCUGCCCGGUGCUGGAAGGUUAAGAGGAGUGCUUAGCUUCGGCGAAGGUACGAAUUGAAGCCCCAGUAAACGGCGGCCGUAACUAUAACGGUCCUAAGGUAGCGAAAUUCCUUGUCGGGUAAGUUCCGACCCGCACGAAAGGCGCAACGAUCUGGGCACUGUCUCAACGAGAGACUCGGUGAAAUUAUAGUACCUGUGAAGAUGCAGGUUACCCGCGACAGGACGGAAAGACCCCGUGGAGCUUUACUGCAACCUGAUAUGGAAUGUUUGUACCGCUUGUACAGGAUAGGUAGGAGCCGAAGAGACGUGUGCGCUAGCAUACGAGGAGGCAAUGGUGGGAUACUACCCUGGCUGUAUGACCAUUCUAACCCGCCACGCUUAGCGCGUGGGGAGACAGUGUCAGGUGGGCAGUUUGACUGGGGCGGUCGCCUCCUAAAGAGUAACGGAGGCGCCCAAAGGUUCCCUCAGAAUGGAUGGAAAUCAUUCGCAGAGUGUAAAGGCACAAGGGAGCUUGACUGCGAGACUGACAAGUCGAGCAGGGACGAAAGUCGGGCUUAGUGAUCCGGUGG